GCCUCACCUUGAGCACGCGCUCCAGGAUCCGCUGGAUGGACUUGCACAGCUCCUCCUUGGUGGGCCCCUUCCCCAGCUCCUGGUGCAGGAGGGUCUCGAAGGUGUACACGGCAUUGUCCAUUUGCUGCGGGGCACACCAUGGGGCACCGGGCCAGUCCCUGCCUCGAGGAAGCAGAGAUCCUGGGCCCUGCAGGAAGGGACUUGGGGAGUAAGGAGGGCCUCCCGGAGGAAGGGGUCUCCAGGCAGAGACCCGAAAGAGGAGGCCAGAUCAGCCAGAGGAACGAGUGUCCCAGCAGACGGGAGCGCCCCAGAGGCCGGAGCAGGAGAUUCUUGCUGUCUGUGGACCCCUCAGUCCAGGGUGUGAAAGAGGAGAGCAAAGAUUAUGGGAUCAGAUAUAGAAGGAUGUGCACCCUGAGAACCAGGUGACUGAGAAGUGAGAGAGAUGGGCCGGCCCCCGUGUUGGGGUACGUGAAAAGGCAUGUAAGUUGUUCUACCUCCUGGCAGAAGCUCACUUCUCCUUCCCUCUCUCCCUCCCCUUCUCCUUCCCUCCCCGUUAAGUCCUUUGAUACUUCAGGAACCCACUUGGUUUAUAAAGCCUGGUGGAGGGGGUCAGUGAUCCCCUUUUUCUCGGAGUGCUGCCCCCGUUUCUCACACCCUCAGCCCUCCGCGUGUCCAGCAGCCCCUCUGGUGACAAGUUACGCCCUGGAUUGCAGGAGGGCCUGGCAGGGGCAGAGCAGACCCAGGCCUGGCAGGCACUCCACCCACCCCCCCCCCCACCCCCGGGCAGGGGCCUGGCCUCACCUCACC
Long non-coding RNA from Felis catus (domestic cat), 807 nucleotides. RefSeq lists it as uncharacterized. The transcript has 3 exons. NCBI's taxonomy places the organism in Eukaryota, Metazoa, Chordata, Mammalia, Carnivora, Felidae. The record is from RefSeq and is a predicted model, not a curated record.